GAAAUGCGAUAACUAGUGUGAAUUGCAGAAUUCCGUGAAUCAUCGAGUCUUUGAACGCACAUUGCGCCCCCUGGUAUUCCGGGGGGCAUGCCUGUCCGAGCGUCAUUGCUGCCCAUCAAGCACGGCUUGUGUGUUGGGUCGUCGUCCCCUCUCCGGGGGGGACGGGCCCCAAAGGCAGCGGCGGCACCGCGUCCGAUCCUCGAGCGUAUGGGGCUUUGUCACCCGCUCCCGUAGGUCCAGCUGGCAGCUAGCCUCGCAACCAAUCUUUUUAACCAGGUUGACCUCGGAUCAGGUAGGGAUACCCGCUGAACUUAAGC
Molecule: unclassified non-coding RNA, 317 nt
Filed under: plant metagenome
Description: partial contains 5.8S ribosomal RNA, internal transcribed spacer 2, and large subunit ribosomal RNA
Rfam family: 5.8S ribosomal RNA (bases 1-105)
Source: RNAcentral